GCUAGCGUUGUUCGGAAAUACUGGGCGUAAAGCGCACGUAGGCGGGUUUUUAAGUCAGGGGUGAAAUCCUGGAGCUCAACUCCAGAACUGCCUUUGAUACUGGCAAUCUAGAGACUGGAAGAGGUUAGUGGAAUUCCCAGUGUAGAGGUGAAAUUCGUAGAUAUUGGGAAGAACACCAGUGGCGAAGGCGGCUAACUGGUCCAGCACUGACGCUGAGGUGCGAAAGCGUGGGGAGCAAACAGG
This 243-nucleotide ribosomal RNA is filed under the name uncultured bacterium. RNAcentral describes it as "partial 16S ribosomal RNA". It matches the Rfam family "Bacterial small subunit ribosomal RNA", at positions 534 to 776 of the family's 1533-position model. The record is from RNAcentral.